This 68-nucleotide transfer RNA is filed under the name Pachyta bicuneata. RNAcentral describes it as "tRNA-Ser". The record is from RNAcentral. Lineage: Eukaryota; Metazoa; Arthropoda; Insecta; Coleoptera; Cerambycidae.
AGUUAAUGAACUUGUUUAAGUAUAUAUUUUGAAAAUAUAAAAAAGAAGUAAUAAUCUUCUAUUAACUU